UAUAUACUCCCUCCGUCCGAAAAAGUUAUCCCAAGCUUGUCCCUCAAAUGGAUGUAUCUAGCACUAACUUGGUUCUAGAUACAUCGGAGGGACAAGCUUUUUCGGACGGAGGGAGUAUGAG
Molecule: non-coding RNA, 121 nt
Organism: Triticum aestivum (bread wheat)
Lineage: Eukaryota; Viridiplantae; Streptophyta; Magnoliopsida; Poales; Poaceae
Source: Rfam